UCCGGUAUGGUGUAACGGCUAACAUUACCGCCUCUCAUGUGUUUGGAGUGUUGCAUGUUUAGCGCGGUAGCCCUGGGUUCGACUCCCAGUACCGGAG
Mycena floridula is the source of this 97-nucleotide non-coding RNA. NCBI's taxonomy places the organism in Eukaryota, Fungi, Basidiomycota, Agaricomycetes, Agaricales, Mycenaceae. The record is from the annotation of a GenBank genome assembly.